Molecule: ribosomal RNA, 3525 nt
Filed under: Triticum aestivum (bread wheat)
Lineage: Eukaryota; Viridiplantae; Streptophyta; Magnoliopsida; Poales; Poaceae
Description: partial small subunit ribosomal RNA
Source: RNAcentral
AUGCGUGAGUGUCCCCAGACCAACCCCAAUCAAUCUGCUAAAGCUGUUGGCCGUGGCAAGCCGACAGGGAAGGUGUUUCAUGCUAAACCGGUCACCGCUUCACGUGGCCAUGUCAACUGUAUCUCUGCCGAAGAAGCUCAAGAGGACCCCAACGUCGUUCUCGGUACGCUUCUUGUUAAUUGCCACCCGGCAUCUGUUCUUUUCGAUACAGGAGCCUCUCAUUCUUUUAUAUCCGAAAAUUAUGCUCGUUUGCAUAAUGUUGCAUUCUGUGACUUGCCGUCCACUAUGGAAAUUUCUACCCCUGGUUCUAGAUGGCAGACCUCUAGGGUAAGUUAUGGAAAUGAAAUCCAAGUCGACAGACUUGUUUUCCUCGCAUCUUUGAUAGCCCUUAAAUCUUCAGAUAUUAAUAUCAUUCUGGGUAUGGACUGGAUGUCAGCUCAUCAUGCCCAAAUUGAUUGCUUCUCUAGGACUGUUCAACUCACCCAUCCUUCGGGAAAGAUAGUCAAUGUCUUGACCCGAAUAGCCAAGCGACAAUUAUAUUCUCUUAACGCCAGCCCUUUGCCAGACCUUGAGGACGUGCCGGUAGUCCGUGACUUCCCGGAUGUCUUUCCAGAGGAAUUGCCAGGUGUUCCACCUGACAGGGAUGUUGAGUUCGUAAUCGACCUCAUCCCCGGAACCGUUCCGAUUGCUAGAAGACCUUAUAAGAUGGCACCACUAGAACUAGCCGAGCUUAAGAAGCAACUCGAUGAAUCCUUGAAAAAGGGUUUCAUCCGACCUAGCUCAUCUCCGUGGGCUUGCCCCGUCCUGUUCGUCAAGAAGAAGGAUGGUACGGACCGGAUGGUUGUAGAUUACCGACCUGUCAAUUUGGUCACAAUCAAGAACAAAUAUUCACUUCCCAGGAUCAACGAUCUGUAUGAUCAGCUCGCUGGAUCCUCAGUCUUCUCCAAGAUGGAUUUGAGGUUGGGCUACCAUCAAAUCAAAAUCAGAAACGGGGACAUUCCUAAAACGGCCUUUGUUACUCGUUAUGGCCAAUACGAGUACACCGUCAUGUCCUUCGGAUUAACCAACGCUCCAGCCACCUUUUCUCGGUUAAUGAACUCAAUCUUCAUGGAGUAUUUGGAUAAAUUCGUCGUAGUUUAUCUCGAUGAUAUACUCAUCUACUCCAAGAACGAGGAAGAACAUGCCGAACAUUUAAGGCUAGUGUUGAAGAAACUUCGAGAGCAUCACAUUUAUGCCAAAUUUUCGAAAUGUGAAUUCUGGUUGUCAGAAGUGACCUAUCUGGGUCAUGUAAUAUCUGGUAAAGGUAUUGCUGUUAACCCUGAGCGAGUUCAAGCCGUCCUUAAUUGGACUCCACCUGAAUCGGUCAAGCAAGUUCGGAGUUUUCUAGGCUUAGCGAGCUAUUGCCGUCGCUUUGUCGAGAACUUCUCCAAAGUUGCUAAACCUCUAACCGAACUCCUCAAGAAAGAUAAGAAGUUCGAAUGGACUCCACAAUGUGAGCACAGCUUUCAGGAACUGAAAAGACGCCUGACCUCUGCUCCCGUGCUGGUACCGCCAGACUUCUCCAAGGACUUUGUUAUCUUCUGCGACGCCUCGCGACAAGGACUAGGUUGCAUUCUCAUGCAAGAUCGACACGUAAUUGCUUACGCUUCACGGCAAUUGCACCCACAUGAGGAGAACUAUCCUACUCAUGAUCUAGAGCUUGCAGCCGUAGUCUAUGCACUUAAGACCUGGCGACAUUACCUCCUCGGUAAUCGUUGCGAAAUAUUCACUGAUCACCAAAGCCUGAAGUACAUUUUCACCCAACCGGAUUUGAAUCUCAGGCAGAGACGUUGGGUUGAAUUGAUCACAGACUUCGACUUAGGAAUAACCUACACCUCAGGGAAAGCCAACGUCAUGGCUGAUGCGCUAAGUCGUAAAUCUUAUUGUAACAACCUGAUGUUACAACAAAGUCAACCGCUUCUCCAUGAGGAAUUUCGGAAGCUUAACCUUCACAUUAUACCUCAAGGUUUUCUUUCCACCUUGGUGGCAAAACCUACCCUUACGGAUCAAAUCAUCAAAGCACAGAAGGUAGAUCCGGGAAUCUCCCGCAUCAAGAGAAACAUUCAGAAAGGAAUUGCGAAUUGCUUCUCCAUUAAUGAUCAAGGGGUCGUAUACUUCGGGGAUCGACUAGUGGUUCCCAAAGUGCGCAACCUGAGGCGAUUGAUCCUUAAGGAAGCUCAUGAAUCUCCUCUCACCAUUCAUCCCGGUAGUACUAAAAUGUAUCAGGACCUACGCCAGAGGUUCUGGUGGACUAGAAUGAAGAGAGAAAUUGCUCAGUAUAUUGCAAAUUGCGACGUCUGUCGACGUGUAAAAGCAGAGCAUCAACGGCCUGCUGGCACCCUUCAACCCUUAGCUAUUCCUGAAUGGAAAUGGGAUAAAAUUGGUAUGGAUUUCAUUACCGGCUUUCCCAGGACCAAGAGAGGGAAUAAUGCUAUCUUCGUCGUGGUCGAUCGUCUUUCCAAAGUAGCUCAUUUCUUACCUGUUCGUGAGAGUAUAACCGCUAGUCAGCUGGCAGAUUUGUACAUCUCCCGAAUAGUGUCUCUCCAUGGUGUUCCUUUGGAAAUUAACUUGGAUCGAGGAAGUCUUUUCACCUCUCGAUUUUGGGAAAGUUUCCAAAAUGCUAUGGGAACCCGUCUCUCCUUUAGCACCGCUUUCCACCCUCAGUCGAGUGGUCAAGUGGAACGCGUCAAUCAGAUUCUAGAAGACAUGCUUCGAGCCUCCGUUAUCUCUUUCGGAAUGGACUGGGAGAAGUGCCUUCCAUUUGCCGAAUUCGCUUACAACAACAGCUAUCAAUCUAGCUUGGGUAAAGCCCCUUUUGAAGUUCUCUAUGGACGACGAUGUCGAACACCCCUUAACUGGUCAGAGACCGGGGAAAGACAAUUCUUUGGCCCGGAUAUGAUUCAGGAAGUAGAAGAACAAGUUCGUAUCGUUCGUGAAAAGUUGAAAACAGCCCAAUCUCGUCAAAAGAGUCAAUAUGACCGAAAACAUAAGGCUAUGACUUUCGAGGUUGACGAGAAGGCUUAUCUUCGGGUCACCCCUCUGAAGGGAACCCAUCGUUUCGGUAUCAAAGGCAAAUUGGCUCCUCGUUACAUUGGACCUUUUCGCAUUCUUGCCAAACGAGGAGAAGUUGCCUACCAGUUGGAACUACCUCCGCACCUCUCCAGAGUUCACGAUGUCUUCCACGUUUCUCAACUCAGGCGUUGCUUCUCGGAUCCUAUCCGUGAAGUGGACCACGAAACGCUUGAUCUCCAAGAUGAUCUUACAUAUCGAGAGUACCCCAUUCGUAUCCUCGAUCAAGCCGAACGUACCACGCGACGUCAUAAUAUCAAGUUUCUCAAGGUUCAAUGGUCGCACCAUUCUGAGGAUGAAGCAACUUGGGAAAGGGAGGAUCGUCUUCGACUUGAAUAUCCCGCCUUCUUCUUGGAGGAACCCAAAUCUCGGGACGAGAUUCUUUUGAGUGGGGGUGAGUUGUCACACCCUAGCUAG